Molecule: ribosomal RNA, 253 nt
Filed under: uncultured bacterium
Lineage: Bacteria
Description: partial 16S ribosomal RNA
Rfam family: Bacterial small subunit ribosomal RNA
Source: RNAcentral
UACAGAGGUCUCAAGCGUUGUUCGGAUUCAUUGGGCGUAAAGGGUGCGUAGGUGGCGCCGUAAGUCAGGUGUGAAAUCCCGGGGCUCAACCCCGGAACUGCACUUGAUACUGCGGUGCUCUAGUACUGGAGAGGAGAUUGGAAUUUACGGUGUAGCAGUGAAAUGCGUAGAUAUCGUAAGGAAGACCAGUGGCGAAGGCGAAUCUCUGGACAGUUACUGACACUGAGGCACGAAGGCCAGGGGAGCAAACGGG